AGCACAAAGGGAGAGGCCCUCAGCCUCUCCUCCUCAGAGCUGCUGACCUCUCCAGGAAAUUCUGAUCUUUGUCACCCCGCAGCCAGAGACAAGCUGGGAUGGGGACAGCGGGAAACAAGCUGCCUGAUUUAGUCCAGCCAGAGAGAGCUGCUGGCCAGGGCUGGGCGCGUUGACUGAAGGGCGCCCCCUGGUGUCCAUCACCCCAGAUGAUCAGGCCUGGUUUGGGAAUGGCACUGGGAGGGGAGAGUUCCCCCUUCCUUGAGUUUACAACUUUCUCUUUUCCAAAAGCAGUUUCAAACUGAAACAUAAAGUGGGGCUUCAUACGCCGAGCGGCUUCUGUGCACUGCCCUCCUCCCUUCUCGUGCACCAGGACAGAAGACGCACAGAGUAGGUGGGUAACAACACCCACUGCUGGUUCUCAAGCCUGCACACUUCCACUUUCUGUGUUUGUGAAAUCUGUGCCUACCCCAAGCUCAUGAAGGUGUUCUCAUAAUUACUUUCUAGAAGCUUUUGUUUUACUGGCCAUGGUCUAUACUUAAAAAAAAAAACCCUAAAAUUUGCUUAAAGAUUAGAGAUUGGUUGCUGUGGAGUGAAAUUCAGUUUGGGGCAAAAAUAGGUUAAUGAUACCCAUGCUUUGGUUUCCUUAGCUGAGAAACGGGGAUAACAAUUGUCACAGGGUUGUUGUGACGUUAAAUUAGGUCGUAUGUGUAAAGUGCUCAGUGUGGGGGUGGGCGCACAGUAAGUCAAGUUCAAUAUAAGCGCUUAUUAUUGUUUUGGACCCACUUAAUUGCUUGGUGGCCCACUGGGUUCUAUUUGACGGGGAUGGUCGUGGAGGUAAUUUCCGUUUCCCCACUUUACGGUCUACGCUGCUUAAUAUGCUUGUAAACAUGGAGCUUCUGAGAGUUUCUGCAGGACACAUUGUGUCUGUUCCUAAUGACUCUCUGUGCCCCCUGUAACCUGCCCUCAGGCGUGGAAGGAGGGAAGGACUCUGAAGAUUGCCCCAGGUCCCCAGCCGUCCCGGGGACAGGAUGGUGAGGAACUGUCAGCUGAGCGGCCGCUGGAGAGAAGCCAGGAGGAGGCAGACAAAUCUGUAAGAUUUGCCCUCAGAAGCGGGGUGGAGGGGGUGGUCAGGAUGCAGGUGUGGAAGGAGAGCGUUUGCUACAAAUGGAGAGAGAAAUGGCUUGCGGGAGCCUUUGUUCCUCCAGAGGAGUAAUUGCCUUUGAUGGGCUGUUAAUAGGAGUCAUUAUGCGGUUAUUAAGAAGGGAAUGUGAUGAGCCCAGCCCUGAAUAGCUAAGUUCGGGGGUCUCCUGGUUUAAUGUUGCUUCUGCAAAUAGGGAGCCUGGCACCUUCUCUGGAAUCCCCCUAGAAUCAGAGGUUAUGACCUUUUAGCCCAGCAGGUUGGGACAAUGCCUGAGGGUGCCAGUUAACUCCUGGUGUAGCUAAUGGAAGGGCAGGAGUGGGAAAGGAAAGGAAGAGAUGAGAAUGGCGUAGGAGGGGACACCAGCGAGAGAAGGGAAGAGAGAGGGCAGGGGAGAGACAGAGGGAGAGAGACGGGGACAGAGAGCGAGUGAGUAAAGGGUCAGGGUGGACAGGCGGAGACGGGGAGAGGAAAGGAGAAUGGAAAGAACAUUAAUUAGCCCUUAGGCUAAAUUCUGCAUCAGCAUCACCUGGGAAAGCAUUCCAAAUCCCCAUCCAGCCCUGCCGGUUUCAUUUCUGUAUUUAACAAGACCCCCCUGGCGAUCACUCUGCAUGUUUAAGUUUGAGAAGCACUGGUUUGGAGCCCACCAGGGUAAGGGACACAAAAUGGCCCAACAGGUCUGGGGCUUGGAGUGGCUGCAUCAGAGUUGUGAGGACUCUCCGAGCUUGCGGAGAAGCAAGCUGGGGUUGAUCUUGCUGCGAAGAUAAGCUGAAAAUGUGUCCGACGGAGACGAGCACUCCGGAGAGAGAGAAAGCAAAAGCGGUUGGAGAGUACUGGGGGGCGACUUUGGGACAGCGAUUCAGUUUGGGGAGUGUUUCCUGCCUGCUGAGAAGAGGCAGGGUUGCCUGAGGAGAACCGACAGUGAGAGGACACAUGGAUUGUCACCCACAGCCAGGCGAGCGGGGGCCGGGCCGCGCAGGGUUCCACCUCAGCCUGUGAAUGGAGCUCCUUGGGGCUCAGGAUGAGCCACCUCUGAGCACUGUGCAGCCACCAGCAUGGCCUCACCUGAGUCUGAGGAGUUUGCAGUCACCUGUGGGGCCAGGAGGAGGCCACUGGGCUCCUUGGCAAGUUAUAAAUCUUACCAGCACCCCGCCUGGCCAGGCUUUUCUGUCGGCCGCCCCGGAGUUUCCAAACAGAUGGCAGGUGUCGGGGGUGUUUCGAGAAGCACCUGGUCAAGUCCAAAAAGGAAACUUUAGUUCCUUCACACCUUCUGGUCCGGGGCCACCUCAGCGUGUGCACACGAUGGUCAGCAGGGGCUGACCAGGGACUCAGUCUCAGACAGUUUUAAACACAUUCAAGAUGUCCCCUUGGACCUGAGCUGGGCCUGGGGUGCCUCAGCGCCUGGGCCCCAGCAGGGCUUUCUCAGGCCUCCAGGUCCAACUGGCGCAGGCGAGGCCUGGACUCCUCCGUGUGCUGCCCUUGGCCUUCCAGGACCCAGGCUGGGCCUCGACCUCCCUGCUCCAAGCUAUGGCAGCAACCCCGGAGGCCAUUCUCCUCCUGGCCGACUCCUGUGAGUCCACCGUGGGGCAGUGGCUCUCUGGCAAAUCUCCCUGCCCGGUUCCUGCCUUCCGAUCUCCUCCCAGAGCCUGUGGGCUCCGGGCUGGCUCAGCAUUUCUUGUUUCCAGAACAUCCGCUGACUCGGUGAGUGAAGGAAUGCUGCUUCUCCCCAAGGUGAAAGGGUCCCCCGCAUUUGCUUUCUAGAAUUGUCUUUCUCGUUAUAGCCUCUGCUCCUGCCUUCCACCAAAAUGUCAGGAGUUCCCAUUUCCUGAGGCGAACGGGGAGGAGAGAGGAAAGAAAACUUAUCUGGUGUUUGUUCUGCAUGACUAACACCGAGCUAAACUUUAUCAGGCCAAGCUUAUCACAAUGAGAAGAUCUGGCUGGAAUGCUGUUUUUCUCUUCCCGCCCUUUCCCUUCUCUUCUCCCCAUCCUCCGAAGGCUCCUCCCCAGACCAGGGGAUCGGAAGCUCUGGGGGAUGGGACCAGGCCUGAGUUCUUUUCGUUUUUUUAAAAGGUGUCUCAGGUGCUUCUAAUGGGCAGCCAGGGCUGAGAACCACUGCUUCAGGGUAAUUGUUGUCAUUAGGACUAGAAAUCCCAGAGGCUAUAGACGGGGAAGGGGAACAGCAGUAGCUACAGUGCUAUCGCUGGGACGUGGUGUGCCUCUUUCCUUUGCCCUGUUGUUCUUCACGUUGGCUCCUAUUUCAAGCCCUAAACUCAGAGUCACAAGAUGGCUGCAGCAGCUCCAGGCUUCACAUCCCCUCAGCUUCAAGUCCUCUGGAAAGAAUGUCCAGCCCAUGACCUGCUGCCUCUCAUUGGUCCUUGUGCUCUCUAUCUCUGGUUGGCUUUUCUCUGCUUGUUUGCAUUCUACAAAUAAGCUUUCUCCAGCAGAUGGGCUGAUGCAAUUUCAGUUUGGUGGUGGGGGUGGAGGGGCACUGUGGGUAGUUAUCUUGGGGGAUGUGUGAGGUGCUGUGGGAGC
This 3670-nucleotide long non-coding RNA is filed under the name Equus caballus (horse). RNAcentral's name for it is "lncRNA (ENSECAG00000060055.1)". The record is from RNAcentral. Lineage: Eukaryota; Metazoa; Chordata; Mammalia; Perissodactyla; Equidae.